GACGCAAAUUGCACUCUUUGGUAUUCCGAGGAGUAUGCCUGCUUAAGGGUUGGUCUACAAGAAAAUCGUGAAAAAGAAUUAGGUUUCCUAAUACUUUGGCCUAAAGCUUAUCUUAACGAUCUUUAGGCAUUAAGUUUGUUGGUAAUUACUACCAAUUGUUACGUCGUGUUAUUCGCCUAGUACCUUUUGAUUAGGUGAGCCGACCUCAAGUCAAGAAUACCCGCAGGACUUAA
Molecule: unclassified non-coding RNA, 233 nt
Filed under: uncultured fungus
Lineage: Eukaryota; Fungi
Description: sequence contains ITS2
Source: RNAcentral